RNAcentral lists this ribosomal RNA (256 nucleotides) under uncultured bacterium. Its description in RNAcentral is "partial 16S ribosomal RNA". It matches the Rfam family "Bacterial small subunit ribosomal RNA", at positions 524 to 777 of the family's 1533-position model. The record is from RNAcentral.
UACGUAGGGCGCAAGCGUUGUCCGGAAUUAUUGGGCGUAAAGAGCUCGUAGGCGGUUUGUCGCGUCUGCUGUGAAACCCGAGGCUCAACCUCGGACCUGCAGUGGUACGGGCAGACUAGAGUGCGGUAGGGAGAAUGGAAUUCCUGGUGUAAGCGGUGGAAUGCGCAGAGUAUCAGGAGGAACACCGAUGGCGGAAAGGCAGUUCUCGUGGGCCGUAACUGACGCUGAGGAGCGAAAGCGUGGGGAGCGAACAGGA